Long non-coding RNA from Triticum dicoccoides, 1040 nucleotides. RefSeq lists it as uncharacterized. The transcript has 4 exons. Lineage: Eukaryota; Viridiplantae; Streptophyta; Magnoliopsida; Poales; Poaceae. The record is from RefSeq and is a predicted model, not a curated record.
GUCCCUACGUCCCCGUCGCUCAUUCCCUUCGCCGCCGCCGAUCUCACUGGGAAAAACCCGCCAGAUCUCGCCUCCACGUUACAGAAUCGGCGCCCGAUCUCCUGGACACAGCGCCGCCGUCGUGCGAUCUGCGAACUGACGCAGACGCACAACAACGACGCCGCCGCCGAUCUCACUAGAAAGACCCUGCCGGAUCUCGCCUCCAUGUUACGGAACGGGCGCCACGGUUCUGAAUCACCGCCGCAGACGCAUUUCGGUUUCAACCCCAGUUACAUAUGGGGAAUCCACACAGCAAGCCAACGGAGCAGACGACAUCGUCACAUGUACCUCCAGGUAUAUGUCCAACUAUAAAUUGUGCUAUACAUGUCAAACACCAUCCCAGGAGACUGAAUGUGUUGUAGGCCCAAUGGAGGCGACAAAUAGUUAACUACUAUAACCAAGGGAUUAUACCCGUAGCCAACGAUGUUGACAAAAUUUACCCAAGUAGUCCAGCUAUAAGGCUGUGCAAAAUUACAGAGCUUAAUUUUAUGUGAUCAAUCAUACCUAACAGACUUGGGCACGACCGAGUCUAAUGGAUCAAGCAUGUGACUUGUAGGAGUCCAUAUUACUCCCUCGGAACGGGUGAUAGUUGAACAGACCGAUGGUGAUAGACUGAUACCACAUAUGAUACUCCAGGUAUAUAUGUACCUCCUGGUAUAUGUUCAACUACAAAUUUUGCUAUACAUGUCGAGCACCAUCACAGGAGACUGAAUGUGUUGCAGACCUGAUGGAUGGGACAAAUGUUGACGACUAUAACCCAGAGAUUAUACCUGUAGCUGAUAAAGUUGACAAGAUUUACCCAAGUAGUCCAGGAGUCCAUAUUAUUCCCUCGGAACGGAUCAUAGUUGAACAGACCGAUGGUGAUAACACAUAUGUUCAUCAACCUUCCCAUCUGAUUCCGGACAACCGUCCGAUCUAACUCCUAUAUAAUGGAGAUACGUUGCCGGCUCCUAGUAAUCUGACACAAAAUUAUGCGACAAAUGUACCACAAAGUUCAAAUG